RNAcentral lists this long non-coding RNA (753 nucleotides) under Triticum aestivum (bread wheat). RNAcentral's name for it is "long non-coding RNA (TAES_LNC005832)". Lineage: Eukaryota; Viridiplantae; Streptophyta; Magnoliopsida; Poales; Poaceae. The record is from RNAcentral.
GAGACCCCACAACCUCCGAGGGCGAACGUCAUGCGAGUACAGGGCACCCCUACCGCACGCACAGCACGCUGCUCAAACAUCGCCAAGACGUAAUCUUCAACUGGCAGCAGUGCCUCCACAUUGCCUACCCGCUCCACCCUGAGCACCUCACCAGCUAGCUAGCCUCCCACCACACCACCCGUGGGAGGAGACCUCAUCUCCUCAGCCUUGUCUGCCAAGAUCCAGAAGCGGUCGAAGGUGAGCGACUUGGGAGCACCAUUCAUUUGUCGGUGAAUGCAUCACCUACGCCUGCUGACGGGAGCCACUGUGUCAGGAGACCUGCUGCCAGCCAUCGCCGAGCGGGACCACGGCCGGGGCCAGAGAUCCAUGCGGCAAGGUAGAGGAGGGUGAGCAGGGAGAGCGGAGUAGAGAGCCAUGUCGUUACCUACUUAAUCAACCAAUAUAUGUCAUCUUCUUUCUAUCGCUCCAAACUUCAAAUCUUUUCCUUUCUUGUAUGACUUCACUAAGAACCAUGAGCAUUUCUUCUUGUUGGUAAGCCUUCUCGAAAUUAUGGAGGUGGAAAUUUUGCCUUCUUGUUCAGUCUUGAUGCCAAUAAUGUAAUGUAAGCUAAUAUUGGGCAACCAUUAUUUGUUAUAACAUUUGGACCUGCAUUUAACUUGGUCAAAUGUGGGUUUCUCUUCCCAGGCUAGAGGUGCAUUCGCAAAUGUAAGACUGGAUAAAUGCCCAACGCCCUCCAUAAAAUGGAAAAUCUAC